CAAAUAACUAUAUUACGGCACACGGCCAGUUCGUCUCCGCGGUCGGAGACAAACUCCACUGCUCCACUCUCUCAUCUCGCGUCUUUCUGUUUACACGAUUUUCUUCAACGCUCAAGGGUUGGGGACUGCAACGUACACACCGACCAUUUAGUCGUUCAGUGAGGAUCCUCUUGAGUGGAAAAGAGAGACUGAGUGUGAAUACGGAGGCUUGAAGAAGAACACGAGCGACUGCACGGAUCUGAGGGAGGAAGAGAGACCGAUGUCUUUGAGAGAAAGAGAGAGAUAUUAAUCAGUAGUGGGGAUAUAGCCAUGACUCUGAUACAUCGGCUAUGUAUUUCGUACCGUGGCAGUGGGAAGAGCUCAGCUUGACUGGAGAGAGAGAGAGAGAGAGAGUGAGAGAGAGGGGGAGAGAAUAAAGAACAAAACAAAGAUGGACAGCGUGCCGGGCGUGACUAGGCGUCCAUAGGAGACCAAGACACGAGGAGUGACAUGCGUGAAUUCUCUGGACGAGAAUGAGUUCCUGGUGGUAGGGAAGUCUGAAUUAUGAAGAAGAGAAGACAGAGGUUACGUCAGUGAUGCGUAACGAAGUGAGCACGUGGUUAGGAGUCUUGUUAAUCGUAUCCGGAGACGUCUAUUUAUAUAUGAGUGAAAAUCGAAGAAAAUUCAAAGGUUAUGUUAAAACUAGCUCCUUUCUUCUGCCGUUCCUGAUCUACUUUGUUCUCUGGCUUUUCCUUUUACAGACAUUCUCGACUAUUCUACUCUGUUUCUAACCUUCGUACAGACGUACCGAAUGAUCUCUGAUAACUCUAAUACAAUAGAACGCCAUAGAGCGUAUUGGACGAUGUUCUGUACCAGGGGAAAUGAUAUAGUCGUUCUUUCUGUGGUGUAAGGAGGACGAGAAGAGGGCGGAAGCACGUAGAGUGAGACGUCGAUUGAAACUCGUUUCGAAUCGAGUGAAACAAAACGAUACAACAUCCUAAGACCCCGCGCAGAGUGGCUUAUGCUAGAUAUGAUAUGGUGUACGAGGAAGUAUGCUCAAGGCGCAAUGUCCUAAGAAUAUCUCCUCGUCGUAGCGUUACUACACGAGAUAUAUAAAUUGCUCUACCCAGAGAUAAUGCACCGGCAGACCAACAGAAUGAAGCGUCAGGGAUUCUAGGAUCGCGAAUACGACAGCUCAGUGUAUCACCAGGCAUUAUCUCCUCUACUCUUCUCUUUCCUUCCUUCUCUCCAGUUGAGAGAUUAAUGAAAGCACAGACGAUUCAACUUAGUAAGGAGCAGACAUGAAAUACUGCCCAGAGUGACAAGAACGAGAUGAUUAAACCGAUUACAACCCUUUCUUACGUCUAUCUUAACACUCUGCUCCACUCAACGUAUGUUCACGUAUGACGUCAUAACGGAAUGGAAGCCACGAAGCGGAGGAGCUUAUUAGUACCGACAAUUUCUAAAUAUUUCUAAAAAUCCAGCUGCGUGGGUCAGCAACUGGAAAUAAAAACUUCACAGAACAAAACUUAACUGGUGUCAGAAGAGAAAUAUACAGAGAAAACAAAGAUAUGUAAUACAAAUCACGUGAUCGAUACUGGUUCAAGAAGAUUACGGGGACUAAUAUCUAGAUCAAUGAUCUAGUUCACUCAGCUAAUUUCAACGAUCUUAUCCGGAUGUACUCUUUAACACCCUUCUUGAUCUCGUACCAAUAAUCCGGACAUUGGCAUGCUCAAAGUUCACUCCACACGUGCGUACAUUCUCCCUUAUAUAUUAUAUUCCACGUGUAAUAUAUCUGAACACCUUUACUUACGUAUUGGAGGCUGCCCACCGACCAGGAAGUAAUCACGGACAACUGGCCACUCGCCGGAAUUCUCAGCAAUGCCAAUGUGGUCCGGUUGAUCUUUCUUUUUAAAAUACGAAUACUCGUCCGUCCAGCUCGUACGUGCAGUAAAACUUUAUUAUAAUAUUUAAAUUCUAUCAACAAUAUGACACUUCGUUUAUCACACUACGUAUGCAAACAGACCGUGACAUUAUUUAAAUUCACGUAGAGCAUCAACUGAUAGUUUUUCACAUGGUUUUAUACUUUAUACUGUCUUUUGUUUAUAUUCCUUUUUCCUGAUCUUCAUGUAACCAUUUAAUUGUUCAAAUUGAAGGCUAAUUACGGACGUAUGGCAGAACUUCGGUAACGAUAUCAAUAUCAGGAUCCAGACUACGUCCUAGUCCCUCGAUCACUGCCAUGCUGAGUAUCACGCUACUGAAGGAUCCGUCUUGCUUCACCUGGUAACGAAUCAUCGCCGAGAACAAUUCAGCCACAACGGUACUCACGUUCACCUGCGAGUUAUUUAAGAAAAAGGAUCAAGAAAAUAUAAGGCUACAGUUGGUACAGUCUUCCUGUCGCAGCAUCGCUUAACCAUCAUACCUUACCAUCCAUGGUAUAGGUAUAUAUACGCUAUCAUGGGUGCAUCAUGGUUUUAUGUGAUACGUCACUGGGAUUUAAUCGAAUCGUUAUCUAUUGCGUCAAGCGAGAGACUAUUUAGAAAAUUAUUAUAGGUAAUUAUCUUUCUGACGAUCGCAGAUAACAAGCGGCAUUCCUUAUCAUAGCCAGAUGAGUGGAUGGUCUAAUAUUCAUUUUAUUUAUUUUUUUUUUAAAUAAAUAUAUUCUCAGAUUGGUUUUUUAAA
Long non-coding RNA from Cephus cinctus (wheat stem sawfly), 2661 nucleotides. RefSeq lists it as uncharacterized. The transcript has 4 exons. The record is from RefSeq and is a predicted model, not a curated record. NCBI's taxonomy places the organism in Eukaryota, Metazoa, Arthropoda, Insecta, Hymenoptera, Cephidae.